Long non-coding RNA from Rhinopithecus roxellana (golden snub-nosed monkey), 766 nucleotides. RefSeq lists it as uncharacterized. The record is from RefSeq and is a predicted model, not a curated record. The transcript has 5 exons. Lineage: Eukaryota; Metazoa; Chordata; Mammalia; Primates; Cercopithecidae.
AUGGCCAUAUCCGGGGGCCUCGAUGCCAGUGCCGACUGUUCCCUGCACGCUUCCACGUCCACACCAACAUUGCAAGGCUGUGUCACUGACCGAAACAGCUACAGUGAUGACACACCUGAGGUGAACACAACUCUGGCAGCAUCCUGGCCCCUGAUGGGGCAAGUGCAUGUGGAAUCUGGAACCUUCACAGCUGAGCCUACAAAGGUGCUCAUGGCACUCAGAAGGGUUUCUGGAUCCAGUGGUAGGAAGUCAUUUCAAGCAGCUUGUGAACAUUCACAGAAGCAGCUCAGGAUCCUGCUGCUUCUUUGUCCAGCAGGCAUCAGGCCCCAGGCUGGAGGCCACAUGCCAGGCUGGCAGGAUUUGUCCACUGUAAAGCUCGACAGCCCCUCAGGCCCUGUGCUGCCCGCCCAGAUCUCCCCUGCCUCAGGAUGCCCUCCGCACCCUCCGAAUUCCCAGCCGCUGCUCUGGGGCCCGCGCGGAGGACUUGGGCCUAGCACCUCGAAGCUCCAAAGAGAACGCAGAGAAAUUCACACGCGAAUUUUGUCAGAUCGCUUCCGAGGUUGCCCUCUUUGCUGUGGCUGCCGAGUGCAGAGCGGGGCAUUCAAGUGGACAGAGUGGUGCUCGGCUUCCCUGCAUCUCCUGGGCCAUGUGUGCUGACCUGUGCCCACUGCAUUGCUCCUGUGUGCCCUGCACAUACGACUGUGUCUUUCCCGUGUAUUCAGUGCUGCUUCAUGUCUUCCAGUUCCGCUUUGUGGUUUGUGACUGA